RNAcentral lists this ribosomal RNA (232 nucleotides) under uncultured bacterium. Its description in RNAcentral is "partial 16S ribosomal RNA". It matches the Rfam family "Bacterial small subunit ribosomal RNA", at positions 104 to 334 of the family's 1533-position model. The record is from RNAcentral.
CGGGGUGAGUAACGCGUGGGUAACCUGCCUUGUACUGGGGGACAACAGUUGGAAACGACUGCUAAUACCGCAUAAGCGCACAGCUUCGCAUGAAGCAGUGUGAAAAACUCCGGUGGUACAAGAUGGACCCGCGUCUGAUUAGCUGGUUGGUGAGGUAACGGCCCACCAAGGCGACGAUCAGUAGCCGGCCUGAGAGGGUGACCGGCCACAUUGGGACUGAGACACGGCCCAA